Molecule: long non-coding RNA, 350 nt
Filed under: Elaeis guineensis (African oil palm)
Lineage: Eukaryota; Viridiplantae; Streptophyta; Magnoliopsida; Arecales; Arecaceae
Description: long non-coding RNA (EGUI_LNC074010)
Source: RNAcentral
ACGAUUAGGUCAACUCUUAACCUAAUCGGGUCAAACCCAACUGAAUCCAAUUCAAUUGAACUUGAUCUAAAAAUAAUUAAUCAAUCAAAUUGAGUUAAUUAGCAAUCAAAUCACUAAUUAAAUCUCUCAUAAAUACUGUGUCCAAAUUCGAUGGACAAUCAGGCAUCAGAAUUCAUCGAUAUGUAACCCUGAUCGAAAAGUCCCAACCAGUGGGACUCUUGACCCCGGUACCCAUAAUGUGUGGAACUCAUGAUCAGAGAAUCCUGAUUCUCGAUCACUGAGUUUCAAAUAUGUAGGAUUCUACAUCAGCCAUCAGAUCAGAUAGGAACCUCUAAUGUGUGUGACCCCAC